GGUAUGGGAUGAGCUUGCGUCCGAUUAGCUAGUUGGCGGGGCAACGGCCCACCAAGGCGACGAUCGGUAGCCGGCCUGAGAGGGUGAUCGGCCACAUUGGGACUGAGAUACGGCCCAGACUCCUACGGGAGGCAGCAGUAGGGGAUAUUGCACAAUGGGGGGAACCCUGAUGCAGCAACGCCACGUGUGGGAAGAAGCAUUUCGGUGUGUAAACCACUGUCAUGAGGGAAUAAGGCCCGCCUUCGGACGGGAUUGAAUGUACCUUGAGAGGAAGCACCGGCAAACUUCGUGCCAGCAGCCGCGGUAAUACGAGGGGUGCAAGCGUUGUUCGGAAUUACUGGGCGUAAAGGGAGCGUAGGCGGAGAUUCAAGCGGAUUGUACAAUCCCGGGGCCCAACCCCGGCUCUGCAGUCCGAACCGGAUCUCUUGGAUAGUUCAGGGGCAGGC
RNAcentral lists this ribosomal RNA (446 nucleotides) under uncultured bacterium. RNAcentral's name for it is "bacterial SSU rRNA". It matches the Rfam family "Bacterial small subunit ribosomal RNA", at positions 217 to 662 of the family's 1533-position model. The record is from RNAcentral.